AACGGUCUAUACCUGCGGUACCUGCGGAAGGAUCAUUAGCGAAGAGCAAGCGCCCUCCCAGGCCUUCUCCGAGCCCCUCGACCCUGCGAACAGUACCGGAAGUUGCCUCGGCGCCCCCGCGCGCCGGCGGCCCCUCAACUCUCUCCCAGCGCAGGACUCUCUGACUUGUACCACAAACGAAUAAAAACUUUUAACAAUGGAUCUCU
RNAcentral lists this unclassified non-coding RNA (206 nucleotides) under soil metagenome. RNAcentral's name for it is "partial contains 5.8S ribosomal RNA, internal transcribed spacer 2, and large subunit ribosomal RNA". The record is from RNAcentral.